GACGAACGCUGGCGGCGUGCUUAACACAUGCAAGUCGAACGGAAAGGCCCUGCUUUUGUGGGGUGCUCGAGUGGCGAACGGGUGAGUAACACGUGAGUAACCUGCCCUUGACUUUGGGAUAACUUCAGGAAACUGGGGCUAAUACCGGCUAGGAGCUCCUGCUGCAUGGUGGGGGUUGGAAAGUUUCGGCGGUUGGGGAUGGACUCGCGGCUUAUCAGCUUGUUGGUGGGGUAGUGGCUUACCAAGGCUUUGACGGGUAGCCGGCCUGAGAGGGUGACCGGCCACAUUGGGACUGAGAUACGGCCCAGACUCCUACGGGAGGCAGCAGUGGGGAAUAUUGCACAAUGGGCGGAAGCCUGAUGCAGCAACGCCGCGUGCGGGAUGACGGCCGUCGGGUUGUAAACCGCUUUCGCCUGUGACGAAGCGUGAGUGACGGUAAUGGGUAAAGAAGCACCGGCUAACUACGUG
This 468-nucleotide ribosomal RNA is filed under the name uncultured bacterium. RNAcentral describes it as "partial 16S ribosomal RNA". It matches the Rfam family "Bacterial small subunit ribosomal RNA", at positions 28 to 507 of the family's 1533-position model. The record is from RNAcentral.